AGGAAGGGGUGGAAUACUCUGUGAUUGAGGUCACAAAAAGCAAGAUUCUAGUGGGCUGGAGUUAUAUUGUUCAGAACUUUAUAUUCCAAAUAGAAUAUUUAGAAUUUUAUCUAAGAAACAAUGUGGAGUCACUGAAGAUCAUUGAAUAAGAGAAAGGCAGACAGAUUUCUGCUUUGGAAACUCAUUUUGGAAGCUAUGUGCAGAACAGUUUGGUAUAGAGUAGUGAUGGUGAACCUAUGGCACAGGUGCCAAAGAUGGCAAAAGUUCUCUCUUGGCCACACUCCCUUUCUUCCCGCAACUCAGAGUUUGUUACUAAAAAGGCAAGGGGACUCAGUGAUCAUGGUGAAUAGAGGUCUUUAGGAUUUAAAUGAGAUCUUCAAGCUACUGCUGAGCAUAGAAGAGAAUUCCACUGGUCCAUGGAAAAUUGCAGUCUCCUCUCCUUUUAGAACAUUUAUGAAAUGCUGCUGUCUGCCACAUUC
This 479-nucleotide long non-coding RNA is filed under the name Monodelphis domestica (gray short-tailed opossum). RNAcentral's name for it is "lncRNA (ENSMODG00000033921.2)". Lineage: Eukaryota; Metazoa; Chordata; Mammalia; Didelphimorphia; Didelphidae. The record is from RNAcentral.